CCUGCCCACUGGUUAAAUUCUAAAGGGCCGCGGUAUUUUGACCGUGCGAAGGUAGCAUAGUCAAUAGUCUUUUAAUUGGAGGCUGGAAUGAAUGGUUGCACGAGAAGUAAGCUGUCUCUUUUUUUUAAAUGAAUUUUACUUUUAAGUGAAAAGGCUUAAAUAAACUGAAGGGACGAUAAGACCCUAUAAAACUUUACAGUUUGCUUUUGUUUUAUAAAUUUAUGGUUUAACUUGGGUUAAAAGCACUAUUGUUGGGUUGGGGCGACUAUUAUAUAAUUUUUUUAUAACUGUAAUUUAAAGUAAUAAAUUUAUUUAGUUAAUUGAUCCUUUAAUAAAGAUUAAAAGAUUAAGUUACUUUAGGGAUAA
RNAcentral lists this ribosomal RNA (366 nucleotides) under Eualus sp. UF 45155. RNAcentral's name for it is "partial large subunit ribosomal RNA". It matches the Rfam family "Archaeal large subunit ribosomal RNA", at positions 1950 to 2546 of the family's 2987-position model. The record is from RNAcentral. Lineage: Eukaryota; Metazoa; Arthropoda; Malacostraca; Decapoda; Hippolytidae.